This 564-nucleotide ribosomal RNA is filed under the name uncultured organism. RNAcentral describes it as "bacterial SSU rRNA". It matches the Rfam family "Bacterial small subunit ribosomal RNA", at positions 794 to 1359 of the family's 1533-position model. The record is from RNAcentral.
UCCACGCUGUAAACGAUGAGCACUGCUUGUUGGCAAUACACCGUCAGCGACUGAGCGAAAGUAUUAAGUGCUCCACCUGGGGAGUACGUCGGCAACGAUGAAACUCAAAGGAAUUGACGGGGGCCCGCACAAGCGGAGGAACAUGUGGUUUAAUUCGAUGAUACGCGAGGAACCUUACCUGGGCUUAAAUGUAGAGUGCAUUUGCUUGGAAACAGGCAUUUUCUUCGGAACUCUUUACAAGGUGCUGCAUGGUCGUCGUCAGAUCGUGCCGUGAGGUGUCGGGUUAAGUCCCAUAACGAGCGCAACCCCUAUUGUUAGUUACCAGCACGUAAUGGUGGGGACUCUAGCAAGACUCCCGGUGUAAACCGUGAGGAAGGUGGGGAUGACGUCAAAUCAGCACGGCCCUUAUGUCCAGGGCUACACACGUGUUACAAUGGCAAGUACAUAGAGCAGCCACCUGNCGACAGGGCGCUAAUCUCUAAAGCUUGCAUCAGUUCGGAUCGAAGUCUGCAACUCGACUUCGUGUAAGGUGGAUUCGCUAGUAAUCGCGCAUCAGCCAUGGCG